UCCUGCUUACACUUAAAGAGGGGCUGUGAAGCACCUUGUGACAUAUGGGAACCCGGCAGGGCAGUGGUGAUAGACACUGUGAAGAGAGGCGAUGCUGGACCUCAUCAUCUUUGGCCUUCAUUUCUUCUUCUGCUUUCUCAUUUCUAUUGCAAUUUGGUGUCGACCAAAGGAUGUGGAUUUGCACAGCUCAAGCACAGGAGGUGAAAUAGAGCCAGCUGGUUUUAUAUUUGUUGGCAAAGAAGAGGAUAUAAAGAAGUCCCAAAGAUUAACAGCCAAAAUCAAUGGCAGAGAAAUUGUUGUUUUCUACCAUAAGGGAAAAUUUCACGCUCUGGACUCUCGCUGCUACCAUGAAGGAGGCCCUUUAUGUCAAGGAGAAAUAGAGGAUAUCGAUGGACAAGCAUGUAUUGUUUGUCCUUGGCAUAAGUUUAAAAUUACCUUGGAAACAGGAGAAGGAUUGUAUGAAGGAAUAAAUCCUCUGGAGCCAUCACCAACACCAAAGUGGCAAUCAAAAGGAGUCAAACAAAGGAUUCAUAAGAUCACAACAGACAAUGGAAAUGUUUAUGUGAGUCCUCCAGAUUUGUCUGUGAAUUUUGACUCUGAUUAUUUUGCUGACAAGUACAAAAAUGGUGGUGAAUUAUCUAUGGAAAAACAAAGCCACUCAGAAGACAUAGAGUAGGUCUUGGACAGACAACAGAAUCCUCAGGAAAGCACAAACGAAGAAACUUUGUUGGGAAAUAAAAAUGUACUGUGUCAAGAAGAUUGUCUUCGAGUUAAUGUUAAUAUUCUAUUAAUGUUAUUUUAAAGCAUUGAAAUACAUUGAAAUGAGUAAGAUAAGAAGCCCUGCAUUGUCAGAAAUGUGACUUACCUUGUGCUGAGGAUUUUUUUUAUUGCACUUGCAUUUCAAAAAAGACUUAAUUAUAGCAGAAAGCCUCACAAUAUUUGGUCUUUUGCUAGAUCUAUUUUAAAUUUGAAGAGGGGAUAUAGUAUACUACAACUUAUAAAACUUACAACAUAGUUUCAGGUAGAUAGUCAGGUGUAAAGGUUGUCUUUAUAUACUUAACAGUUUACACUUCUGUGGCAAAAAUAACAUGAAAAAUUUUAAAUUUUGAGAUAUUUGUGUGAUCUUUAGGUAUUUAUUAAGUGCCACAAAGGGUAAGCACAGAACUUCAGCAUAUUUUGAUGCACUCUUUUAUGCCUAUUUGUGCAUUACUACCUUGAGUACAUAGAGGUAUUUGUUUUCCUUCUUCUCACUGUACUCCUGUUUUUAGUUCAUUGAAUAAUGUGGAAAGGAUUUGUUAUGUAUAGCUUGUUUUCACUGAUUCUGUUGGUUAAAGAGGGAGCUGUUUGCUGUGAUAUGUGAACUAGUGGCCCUUGUUUGCUUGUUUUUAUUUAUUGUAACUACAUUUUUAUACCUUGAUUUGGGGAAAAAAGUGCUUUCUGCGUAGAAAACAAAACCUGCUUUUUUCUCUGUGGGUUCACUGUACAAGAUCAGAUCUGACCCAAACACCACUUCCAAGGAAGUUUCUCUCUGAGCUCUGCUGCACUCUGGGACAGGGUGGGUUCUGCUGUUCAGCCUGUAGAGUGCAGAGAUAUCCUGUAAACACACAGCAUCACAGAAUCAUUGAAGCUGGAAAGCACCUCUAAAACCAUUGAGUCCAGCUGUUAAAUCAGCACAUCCAGGCCCACCACUAAACCAUGUUCCCAAAUGUCAUAUCUACACAUUUUUUAAAUACAUCAUCCCACAUGGCUGCAGUUAUUCACUGUGGGGUUUUUGUGUGAUUUGUUGGAGUUUUUUUUGCAAAGUUCAUUCAUAGUCAGGUUCAGUUUGAAAUGCCUGCUCUUCCUCUGUAAGUUUUUCUUGUGUUUGCAGCAGGCCUACUUGCUUUUAAUGUAUGUCACAGGUAAUGCCUGUGUCAACACUGUUUGUACAAAUGUGUUUAGAAGUAGAGAGGCAGAGGGAAGAGUCAAAGGAAAAAUUGUGCCGCAUUAAUCACAAUGGAAAAAGCAAAAUACACAAUCAAUUUCACAACAUCUAAAUUGAUAGAACUUCCUCUGGUCAUGCCUUCUUGAUAUGGUUUUUGCAGUUGAAAGAGGAAAGUGGCCCCUUGAAAGUGCUGUUGAGGUGACCUACCCCAGUUUUGCAUUUUGUAAGAGCUACAGCACAGAAAUGCUUUUCUUGUUAUCCUCCUCUUCUUCCUUCUUUUCCCUUCCCUGACCACUCAGUCAGCCAGUGCCAAUGAUCAGACACAAAUGCCUGCCUUCUGUUAGGUGAAUCACAUCUUGAUUAUCUGCUAGAAACUGCUGUUGUGUACUGAUCAUUCUGUGAUUUGUUGGUGUUUUUUAAUUGCUGUUUGUUUGCUUAUAAAUGAAUAUGUCAGUUUCUCCUCUUGAAGAUACUAGGUAGAUGGUGGGAAGGUGGAGCAAGUACCUUCCCACCAUCUACCCCGGCUGAUGCCCCAAGGGGCUUGGGUGGUGUCAGGGGGAUGGAGAAUUGCUGCCCUUCCCUCCCUCCACACCCAGGUACCUGCAACUGUGAUUAAACUUGACUACAGACAUUGUGUCCUAGUAAAAGACAUGGAUCAUAUAAAAGGAAAGUAUUGCAAAAUCUUCAGAUACACCUGUGUUAGGAAAAUUAAUCCAUGAACACCAGAGGUUUAUGUGCAAAAAAGAGACAGAGGAGUCUUUUUACUUUAUUUGAAUAAAGGGAGAGGCCAUGGGGCAUUUCCCCUGGGGUCUCUCAGUUUUUUGGAGGACACAGCCUCCUUUUUAUCCUAAUUUCCUGGCUGCAUUUCCCUCUCUCUUUCCCCACUGGCUGAGGUACUUGAGAGGUACAGACUUCCUGAAAUGCUUAAGACCUGAGAUUCCCCUUUUAAUGUAUAACCCCCCUAAUUUUUAAUUCUUAUGGGAUUUGUGUUUUUUUCCCCAUUGUUGCUUUUAUCUUUCAAUAUUCAAGUUAAUUUACAAACAAACCUACAGUUUACCUGUAAAGGCAAUUUCUUCUAUUCCAUUCAGGAAUAGGAUCCUUCCUAUAGUUUCUCUUAUCUCUCAGUGCUGGUUUUAUCUACCAGCAGACCCAGGGCUUGUUUGUAAAGACAAAUCUUGUCAUUCCUCUCACCUGCAUUAACUCAUGCGCUUGCUGAUAGCAUGGGAAAGGUGCUGAGAGCUUAUCAGAGCAGUGGCUCGCAGAAAAGGGACAUGACAUGAUUAAACUAGUAAGAAUUUAGGCCUCAAGGAUAUGCUAUCCUUGAAGGAAGGCUUAUGUGAAGAACAGGAUGUAAGCCGGAUGUGAAAUUAGUCAAGUAUGGGAAAACUAAAGAUAUGAUGUACUGACUUUAACUGUUUUGCAAUUAUUAAGGUCGAUGCUAAGUAAUGCUUGCGUUAAUUAGUUAUGUCCAAUGAUGAGCUUGGCUUUUGCAAUAUGUAUGAGCUAAUUAUGAAAAGUAUAAAAAUGUAAAGCAACCUUAAUAAAGUGAGAUCUGCUGACCAUGAUAGCAUGAGGCAUUUCUCCCGCGGCUCCGGUAACCCGACCCCGACAUCUGGCGCCCGAACAGGCUUCUCCCCCUCCCUCCUCAGAGCUGCGUUGGGCUCGGGUCCUCUGCGACGGUGAGAUUUUCACCCGGGGUGAACAUAAAGGUGUGCCCUGCCGACACGCGCUGCCGACGCCUGGAGGGUUGCGACGGUACCGGUCCCACCUGGAUUCCUGCUAGAUGGACGCGAGCUGCAAUAAAUGAACAGCCCCGAAGGGAGGAGGCUUCAUCGCUUAAGAAAGGCGCUCCAACCACUGCUGAUACAGGCUGACAGCCUGCCUGGGACUCAGUUCGUGAUUAACUCUGGAGAGGACAUGCAGUUUCGACUUCUUCCAGCUUUAAAUGCUUGUUUGCUUUUAGGACCAUGCAUUUUCCAAUGUAUACAACGCAUGAUGAUGUCAAUGGUAGAGAAUGUAAAAAUGUCAAUGUUUGCCAUAAAAGAAAACGGGGGAAGUGCUGAGAGCUUAUCAGAGCAGUGGCUCGCAGAAAAGGGACAUGACAUGAUUAAACUAGUAAGAAUUUAGGCCUCAAGGAUAUGCUAUCCUUGAAGGAAGGCUUAUGUGAAGAACAGGAUGUAAGCCGGAUGUGAAAUUAGUCAAGUAUGGGAAAACUAAAGAUAUGAUGUACUGACUUUAACUGUUUUGCAAUUAUUAAGGUCGAUGCUAAGUAAUGCUUGCGUUAAUUAGUUAUGUCCAAUGAUGAGCUUGGCUUUUGCAAUAUGUAUGAGCUAAUUAUGAAAAGUAUAAAAAUGUAAAGCAACCUUAAUAAAGUGAGA
Molecule: RNA transcript, 4302 nt
Organism: Hirundo rustica (Barn swallow)
Lineage: Eukaryota; Metazoa; Chordata; Aves; Passeriformes; Hirundinidae
Gene: RFESD
Gene name: Rieske Fe-S domain containing
Exons: 5
Source: RefSeq, a predicted model, not a curated record